CCCCGCUUUCACUAACAUUCUCAAAGUGAGAAAAUUCUCAGCUCAAGAUUUUCUCAGAAUUGUGUGAGAAUUGUCUCAGCUGAGAAAUUUCUCAAGUUGGCUUUCACUAAACUUUUUCUCAAGUCUUGAGAUUUUUCUCAGCUGAGCCGUAAUUUUUUAAGACAUAAGCGGCCAAACAUCCAAGGAGCCGCGUGAACUUUCCCACGAACACCAGUGCAUAGUUGGGGGCAGUGGAUUUAUUCAUUUACUGAGACGAAACGAAGCGUUGAGAAAUGUUCAUAAACAACAUGUACAGUUUCGGGAUAUAUCCAAAUUGUAUGUUUGUACAAAGGUCACAGCCUGCUGAUGAAGAUCCUCAGCUUAUACAGAGGUCAUGGUUGAGCUGUGUGCUGAUUCAGAAGAUGCUAAUGACAGUGGAUAAUUCAUUCUGAGUUGUUCUAGGACCAUUCACCAAUGUUUCAAAACACUGAUGGAACUGAAGGCAAUAAAUGUACUGGUGUCUGGCCUGUGAUUUCAAGUAUAGACUAUAACUGAUGUACCUCCUCCUGAUGUAUCUCCUUGAAUAUGUUGUAAAGUUGGAUUUUUACAACAUAAUGUUACAUAAUACAUAGUUUCAUUAUUGCAUAAUAUUAUCUAACAGUCUAAUAUUUUAUCAUAAAUGGUUGUAUUUACAAAUAGUAUGGUAUUUUAAGAUUUGAAAGCAUAGACAUUUAGCUAGUCUAUUAAGGGCAUUCAGCUAGUCUAUUAAAGACUGCUGAUUUAUCUAUGUAGAUCAUUCUUCGUGCACAUCCACACAGUUCAGUAUAUUCAUUUGAUACUUUAUUAUUGCUUAUAUACUUCAUAGUCAACAGUACUUCCAGUUUAUCUUUAUUGUAACAAACUGCAUUUGAUAUCAUUACAUACAUGUAUUUUCAUUUUGUAUUUACAUCAGCUAUUUUUAGUAAGACCAGUUAUGAAAGAACUUUGAGCUAUUUUUAGAUUAAAGACAAAGAGCUUACAUAAACAUUGUCAAGGUCAUAGCUGAUAUGUAAGAUAAAUGUUGAAUGGCUUAUCAGAAAAAUGCUGACCAAUCAGAAUGUACUUUACAUCCUACAUGGUUGAAUGCAUUCUGGAAGAGUUUACCUCAGUAGAAUUUCAGAGCCAUUUCUUCACUCUGCAAAGAAUUUUUGGACUGACAACAUCUUAAAAACUCUCUUAGGGUUUAGUAAUUAAUAAUUAAUUAAUUUUGUAUUUAUUUUUGGCUAUUUAUUUAACCUAACAGUUUUACUAAAUUCAUAGUAAUUUUUCUUUAAAUUAGUAAGUAAUUUUCUUUAAUUAAGUAACUUAAAUUCUAUUGUUUUAACAGCAAUUGCUUUAGAUUUUCAUCUUUAAAUACUUAAGUUAUUAUUGGUAAUUAAUUUAAAUUGCUGUUAAUUUUACACAGAGUCAUACAAGUACAGAGUCACAAAAAUACAUUUAGAUACUUAAUAAUACCAUUUAUUUAGAUUAUUAUUUACUUUUAGGCAGAACUUGAAACUUCAAUCUUUUUAUUCAUUAAGCUGAUUUGUCAUCUUUAUCAGUAUUUUUGGCAUUUUUCUAACUUGUAUAUUUAGAUCACUUUGUAAAAUAUUAGUUUAGAAAGAUAAGUAAAAAUUUGAUUGGUUUCUAAAUUUAUUCAGCAUUUUGUGUUUUUAUUUUCCCUUUCAAAGUAAAGGAUGGUGUCAUCCUGACGUGUCAGUUAUUCUGACGUAAUAAUUUACUACUAGCAAACAGCUAGUUUAGACCACUGCUUCCAAGCAAACUAUUAAACGAACAUACAUAGACAGGCUGUUCAAAAAGACAGCGUUAAAAACUAAAAAUUUUAUUCCCCACAACAAUGGUGUCAGAAUCGGGAUAGUUUUGAAAAUUGUUAAUUUUCUCAACUUGGAAGCAGCUUAUUUUUGAAAUAGUAAAUUUUUGUAUUUUUGAAGUAGUAGAUUUUUCAAAAUUAUUUUUGAAGGCAAAUUCAGCAAUUAAGUACCUAAGUGAACUGCCACACUACAGUAUAACCUUGUCCUUUCUAUUCUUCCUUCAACUGUGCUAAGCAAUUUGUUCUAUUUCAACUGACAAGGAUUGCCGUAAGGUUGAAGCUCGGUGCGAGUUUGUUCAGAAAGCUUAGUUUCAGUUUAAUAGCAUGUAAGAUAGAACGGUAAAUUCAUUGACAACCUUCCGACUAUACGGUGUGGAAGUCGGGUAAAACUGGGCGUUAUAUGAUUUUAUCGUUUUGUUAUUAUUUCAGUACAGCGGUAAGAGCAUAUUUCUGGCUAUACGUUGAGGAAGCUGGAGCACGUUGAGGAAGCUGGAGCACGCAAGUGUUAUAUAUGAUUUUUAUGGCUGUACACCUCUUUUCUUUCUUCUGCCCAGGCCUAUUGUUCUCUUUUAAAUUAUAAAGGCCAACUCCCUUUAGAGACCUUGACCCUCAAGCAGUUCAAGUCAAGUUCUCCAAUAUUACACUGAGAUCUGCAGCAGACCCAGUUUCAGAUCUAUGAAGUGAAGUCUUAGCCAACUAAUAACUCAUUCAUUUCAGCGUCCGUAAGUGCUCUACAUUUUUAAGUAUCCACAAUUUACUUUUGGCUUUAUUGUGUGGAUGACUUCAUUAUUUUGUCCGAAAAGGCUACCCUCUCAAAAUUUUCAACAUCGGAGCACUCCACAGGCAUUUUACUAAAAUAACCUCAAAAUUCUGUCCGUUUAUUGGCUUCCACCAAAUAGAGAAAGAAUAUUUCUCUCAGUAUUGUCAUACCAAGAUUUUGUCAGCUGCCAAGAAACACAAAACAGCCGUACAUUCUACCGAGCAAAACUACAGAAGAUGGCACCAGAAACCAGUACUCUACCAGUCCUACCGCUCUACACCAACUACAAACUGAACCAUCACAUCACAUCACGUCUGUAUGUGAUGACUUCUUAUCUUCCGGAAACCAAAUCAGAAGUCAUUCUUUAAUUUCUGAUGAUGACCAGGCAUCAAUGACAACAAACAAAACACCACUACUACGAGAUGCUACAACAACUGCAAACCAGAAUAGACCUGUACUGGAAGCAGGUAGAAGAAACACCACCACCGAAGUAACAAUACAACUCCAACCUCUGCAUGAUCCGUUACCUGCUCAUCCAUCUUCUACAAGCAAUCGGCCAGAUGAAAACACAAACCAUCAGCCAGCCUUUGAAGCUUCAUACAGUCACGGAGGAAAGCUUCAAGCAGG
Molecule: long non-coding RNA, 3215 nt
Organism: Mercenaria mercenaria
Lineage: Eukaryota; Metazoa; Mollusca; Bivalvia; Venerida; Veneridae
Exons: 3
Source: RefSeq, a predicted model, not a curated record